This 911-nucleotide ribosomal RNA is filed under the name uncultured bacterium. RNAcentral describes it as "bacterial SSU rRNA". It matches the Rfam family "Bacterial small subunit ribosomal RNA", at positions 8 to 916 of the family's 1533-position model. The record is from RNAcentral.
AGAGUUUGAUCAUGGCUCAGGAUGAACGCUAGCGACAGGCCUAACACAUGCAAGUCGAUGGGCAGCACAAGGUAGCAAUACUUGGGUGGCGACCGGCGGACGGGUGAGUAACACGUAUGCAACCUGCCCGUAAUCGGGGGAUAACCCGGAGAAAUUCGGACUAAAACUCCAUGAAUCUGAGAUAUCGCAUGAUAAAACAGAAAAACGCAAGGAUUACGGAUGGGCAUGCGGAUGAUUAGCUAGUUGGAGGGGUAACGGCCCGCCAAGGCGACGAUCAUUAGGGGUUCUGAGAGGAAGGUCCCCCACAUUGGAACUGAGAGACGGUCCAAACUCCUACGGGAGGCAGCAGUGAGGAAUAUUGGUCAAUGGGCGAGAGCCUGAACCAGCCAAGUCGCGUGAAGGAAGAAGGUCUUAUGGAUUGUAAACUUCUUUAGCAGAGGGAUAAAGGUUAUUACGAGAUAAUAAUUUGCAGGUACUCUGCGAAAAAGGAUCGGCUAACUCCGUGCCAGCAGCCGCGGUAAUACGGAGGAUUCGAGCGUUAUCCGGAUUUAUUGGGUUUAAAGGGUGCGUAGGCGGGUUUGUAAGUCAGUGGUGAAAGUUUCCGGCUUAACCGGGAGAAUGCCGUUGAGACUGCAAAUCUUGAGUGCAAGCGAGGUAAGUGGAAUGUGUUGUGUAGCGGUGAAAUGCAUAGAUAUAACACAGAACACCGAUUGCGAAGGCAGCUUACUAGUAUGUAACUGACGCUGAGGCACGAAAGCGUGGGGAGCAAACAGGAUUAGAUACCCUGGUAGUCCACGCAGUAAACGAUGAAUACUAGCUGUAUGCGAUAGACAGUAUGCGGCGGAGCGAAAGCAUUAAGUAUUCCACCUGGGGAGUACGUCGGCAACGAUGAAACUCAAAUGAAUUGACGG